This is a long non-coding RNA of Passer domesticus (house sparrow), 4657 nucleotides long. RefSeq lists it as uncharacterized. The transcript is spliced from 9 exons. Lineage: Eukaryota; Metazoa; Chordata; Aves; Passeriformes; Passeridae. The record is from RefSeq and is a predicted model, not a curated record.
AUGAAAUAGAACAAAGAACCUUAAAGACUCCAGGACACAGCCUGGGGGAGCUACACCCUGCCAAGGGGAGCAGCACAGAGGCUCCCCAAAUCCCUCCAGUCCCACAGCAUCUGCAGUGCCCGUGAAACACUGAGGGAGGGGGAACAGACCCUUGAUUUGUUCAGUUACUGCAAUUGCUACAAGCACCUGGAAAACGACAGGCUCAGAUUUCCAGAUCACCACAAAACUGCACUGAUACCAUUUCAGUGACCUCCAUCACCCCACAGGCAGAGACACAGAAGCUUAUUCAGUAGUUUAGUCCAUGAUAAAGAAGAGUAGGUACAGCUCAGAGAGAAGUACUGGAGCUCUGAAAUCCUUUUACACACAUUUUGGGAUAAGAGGUGAAAGCUGAAGCCAUUCAGUCUGAACACCAGAGAUGUCUCUCCUUAGGGCAGUGCCUGAAACACAAGGCUUCUCCAAAGUGGAGAGUUGUGAAGCAUCAAAGCCUUUCAUGCUGUGCAAUACAGAGCAGCAGCCCUUAAUUCUGCAUUCCCAGCCCCUGCUGGAACUUGGAGCACAGGACCUACAGACAGAAAUGGCUUUAGAGGACAGAGCUGGCAGGAACAAGGAGCAGGAGGCAGAGAGAACAUGAAGAUUUGAUCUUCCUCCCAGCAUUUUGAGAGGAUCACUGAUGCUCCCCAGAGGACUGUCUGUCUGCAAGGGAGCUGGUCAGAGAGGGCAGCAGGUACUCCCAAGGGCAGCUUCAUUUGUCAGUGGGUGGGCUGGGAGCAGAGAUCAGGGCUGGUAAACUCGAGAAGAUGGUGCCUGGAAGCGUGUGCUGGAAAGCAGAACAGUGCAGGGAAAAACAGGGCUGGAGAGAGAUGGGAAUAAGGUGACUCAGUGGAGAGAGGUCGCAGAGAAGGACACAGGAGGAGUUUUCAGAAACAGAGGAGUUCUACAGAAAAAAGAAUUUAGCAGAGCCCUGACCAGGUCUGUGUUUACCUCACAAACCUGGUGUGCAUCCCAAAGAACAGUGCAACCCCAGCCUCAGGAAGUGCCCAUCUAGGACCACAGAGUCAUCAGUGUUGGAGAAAACCUCCCAGAUCAUCACAUCCAACCUGGAGCCAAAAUCCAGGAGCAGUCAUACGGGAUGUGUCCUGAAUCCACGCUCUGAUGCCCAGAAGGAAAAACCCUGUGCACCAGCAAGAUCCCUCCCUGGAAUGGUUGUGGAAGGAAUGGUCCUGAUACCUCUGUGUCACAUCAGCUUGGAAUCCAACCUUAUUUGCCCUGAUGGAUGUGUUCAUGCCUAAAGCUGCACUCAGGAAAUCCAUCAGCCUAUGGCUGUCAGCAGAGUUCUUAACAGAGACACACGACAGCCCUGAGCAGGCACAUCCCAGACUCACAUGAUGGCCCUGAAAUCCCAUCAGGAGCAGCUCCAUGUGCUGAUACAACCACAGGGAAAGGGAUGUUCUUUACACAUUAAAGAAGAUUGCCCUAGGGGACAUCUGAGUGUGCUUCAAGGACUCCCAGGCCAGCAGGAGUCAGGAAGGCAGGAGGCAGCAGGAUCCCGCUGCUCCCUCCCAGACUGCCUGCAGACAGUGAAUCAGAUCCUGCAGCAUCCCACUCAGCAGCCCAUGGGUGUCAUCCACCCUCCAGCCCCGCAGAUGGGAAACCCCCGGGGUCCCCAGAUUGGGAAUGUGACCCAGACAUGGAGCCAGGUACAUGAAUUAAUACCAGAAUGUGUGUUGGGUUUCUUUAAUGAGGGCACAAGGAGGAUAAUUGUGGGUUAUUGUGCUGCAGGCUGGUCUGGGGGAGUGAAUUGCUACUGGUGCCCAUACAGAUCUGUGCUGCCUGGAGUAGUGAGGGACAUUUAGGGUGACCAGAGGGGUGUAAAGUGCCACAUGGCAUCAACAUCCUCAUUUAUCCAGGAAAGCCAGGACAGCUUACUCCUUUAUCUUAACAAUCCAUGGACUUUGGGAAAGAAACUUCUUAUUUCCAGGAUGGCAGAAACACAUCCCAGCAGUGCAAAGAAAAAUCCCACUCACCUGCAAAAAACAAUCCCAGUGGGACAUGUUUUACUUUAAACUGGGAUACUUAAGGCAGAAUUGAAAGAACUCUGCACAGGGCUGAGAGUGUUCAGUGUGUUUUUCUCUCAUGAAAGAUGCAAGAACAUAUUUGUUUUUUGAAAUAAGCUGGGAGAUAAGUGAAUCCACGGAUCUAUGAUGGAUGAGCUGCCAGGACAGUGCUGAACUCUCUGAUACUGAAAGACUCACAAACAGCACACCAUUAAAAUUCAGAGGGAGCAGUCGUGGAGUGUAUCGAUCCAUGGAAUAACAACAUCCUGAGAAGGAGCUGUUUGUAGUUUUAGAAUCUAGAAUCACCUGGAAUAAAGGAGCUGCAGUUUGGAAGAACAGCUUACAGGAACUAGCAUGGCACAAAACAUGGGCAUUAAAUGCUGCAGGGUCUGAAUGCUUAAUCGUGCACUUAGUUAAAAUCCUUGGAUGCUGAUGUGGGACCUGUUGAAUUCCCACUUCCUCAGGAACAUAAUUCAGAUUUGUUUUCUCCAGGAAAUCCAUUUUCUGCUGUGCAUAUAUACAUGUUUGCUUGUGAAUGCUGCCUCUGAUCAUCCAUCCUUCCCAUCCUCUGAGCUGCAUCCACGUUUUUCCUGAGAGCUCUCCAAGCCCUGGGGCUCCUUAGGAGCUGGACUCUGCAGACUGAUCUGUGGGCAGCUGUCCAUGCAUGAGGGCAGACAUCUCCCUGCAGAAACUCCUGCUGACCCAUCAACAGAGCAGCCCCAUGCAGAAGUGUGUCAUUAAUCCAGACAACUCAUCCUGGAAGCUCUUUCCCCAGCAGGCUGGGAGGUUUGGGAAGACAUAACAAAGUUGUAAAGCAUGAAAAAGCCCAGGAUGAAAUGCUGCUUUAAAUUAUCCAACUCCCUCUCCUGGAGGGUGCAGACAAGAGAGUGGCAACCCAGCAAGAAACCAGGACCAGCUGAGCAGAAACCAACCCCAAACCAUGUGGCUUUUCAUCUCACACUGGUGAUUACACAACUGCUGGGCUCUUAUAUAAGUAGGAAGACGAGGUUGCCUGCAAAUAAUCAAGUUAAAAUUGUGAAGGUCCAGAACUAUAAACAUCCUCCCCACUGGGAGCCCAAGAAGCCUUUUGUAAGAAGCAUGGAUCUCAUUACACUAAAAAUAUCCAAAGUGAUUAGAUUUUGUCAUGGCCCAGAAAGUUGCUCUGAGAAUCAAAGGCUGCUGAUCUCUGCCUACGGCAGGUAAAUGCAGCCUUUCCAUAAGUGACCUGGGUGCAUUCACAUUCAAAUUAACCUGGUGAGAGCUCAGAAGCAAAGAAGAAAACCCCUCGACAGACAUCAAAAGAAGCAGUGUUUUGAUUUCCUAGAUGAAACAUCAAGAUUCUGCUUAUCACUGAUAUUCAAAUAAAAUAAAAAAUCUCCCUUGUAACAGCUGGUCUUAAUUCAGCUGCUUUUUCUUGAGAAUAAUCUAAAAAUCCUGAAAUGGUCUUACUGAUAAAGAAACACCUCACAGCCUUUCACACCCCUCUGGUAGGACCUACCAUGCUACUGGGAGCUGACCUGAAGCUGAGAGGUGAGAACUCCUUAGGGCUGGAGCUCCCUCAGCCUCAUUCCUACACCUCAUCCCAGCUCAGAGCCUUCCUGAGCACCUGGAAUUUGGUCUGUGUGCAGACAAAAACAGUGCAGCACCUCUGCAGGAUGAUCCCCAGGAAGCUGAGCAGCCACAUAAUAAUGGAAUUGUUAUCCUGGCACCAUCAUUGACAUCAGCUCAGGAAGCACAGGGCACCAUCCCCAGGUUUUCCUUACUUCUGAUUAAAAUCAACAGCCUCUGGAUACCCAAAGAGCCUGUGGAAGUUUCAGGACAGCUGGAAAUCAAACACAAGGGAUCGUUACAGAGCAUUCCCAUUCCUCAAUAUUCCCUCUUCCCUAAACUGAGGAAAGUGAAAAUUAAAAUCCAACCUGGGCCACCUUUCCACAGAUCUGUGUGCAGAGUUUGUCAGGGUCUCAGUGAUCUGGUCAGUGACCCUAGGUGUGCUGCUGGAGGUUGACUCCAGGUUUUUGAGAUUCAGGCCGAUCCAUUUGCAGUUCCCCUAAAUGUACCCAGAAACAGCUCUCCAAAAGCUGAACUAGAACUCAGGAAAGGGGUAAAGCUCAAACUGGCAUAAAUCUCAGCAAAUGUGUCUGGUUCAGAUGAGCCUGGACUUGAACAUUGAGCCAAAUCUGUUUAAUCUGGAAGUGAUGCUGGAAAUCCCAUAAAGUCAGGCUUUCGUGAAAGAUUUGUAGUGCUUCCUUAUUUUCAUGUGGUCAGAAGUUACUAUAAGAAAAAAUGUCUUUUCAUGCUAUUUCAGUAUUUCAGCUUUAUGUUUGGGCCAAAAUUGAAGCUGCUUUAAUUUCAUUUUCAGUAAGCUCUAAACAGUCUAUAAAAAGAGAUUAGAUUUAGGAUGAGAUGUCAGGAUUUGUUCUACAUUCCUGAAUACAAUAUUGAUAUGCUUUUUUGUAUUUUUUCCUUAUUAAUCAAACAAUCUUUCCAUUUACCAGCAAUUUUUUUAACUGGUAUGGCCAAUGGAGUCCUCUUUUGUCCGGAUAAAAUCCACAUACAAAUUUUAGCAUCCCAGUUUGUCAAGGGACUCUCCCACCUGUCCUUUA